This 83-nucleotide transfer RNA is filed under the name Sphaerobolus stellatus SS14. RNAcentral's name for it is "tRNA-Leu (TAA) (tRNA-Leu-TAA-4-1)". It matches the Rfam family "tRNA". Rfam says of the family: Transfer RNA (tRNA) molecules are approximately 80 nucleotides in length. Their secondary structure includes four short double-helical elements and three loops (D, anti-codon, and T loops). Further hydrogen bonds mediate the characteristic L-shaped molecular structure. tRNAs have two regions of fundamental functional importance: the anti-codon, which is responsible for specific mRNA codon recognition, and the 3' end, to which the tRNAs corresponding amino acid is attached (by aminoacyl-tRNA synthetases). tRNAs cope with the degeneracy of the genetic code in two manners: having more than one tRNA (with a specific anti-codon) for a particular amino acid; and 'wobble' base-pairing, i.e. permitting non-standard base-pairing at the 3rd anti-codon position. Lineage: Eukaryota; Fungi; Basidiomycota; Agaricomycetes; Geastrales; Sphaerobolaceae. The record is from RNAcentral.
GGUAGGAUGGACGAGUGGUUUAAGUUGGCAGAUUUAAGUCCUGCUACCGUUAUGGUGCGCGGGUUCAAACCCUACUCCUAUCA